This 922-nucleotide long non-coding RNA is filed under the name Bemisia tabaci. RNAcentral describes it as "lncRNA ENSSSA2NGG011729". Lineage: Eukaryota; Metazoa; Arthropoda; Insecta; Hemiptera; Aleyrodidae. The record is from RNAcentral.
GUGAAAAGUACCAGUCAAGAUGAACUGUUGUAAUUUAAUUUUGGCAGGCCAAAAAGUUUUGAAAUAAUAAACUCAUUUUAAUUUUUUCCUUUUUUUCCAGGAUAAAAAUGGAGCUGUGAUUCCGGGACAAAAUGGAAAACUAGAGUUUAUAUUCAAGCAAGGCCUUGUAUUUUUUGUCUCCAGCUAUAAAGGCAAUGUUCGUGAUAAUUAUGCAUGCGUUCAAGCUGGGACAAUCUCUCUCCAUCAUUCUAGUGCUGUAGUUCCUUGCUCACCGGCAUCAUCUAGUGCCAGCUCAAAUUCAUCAACGAGUUUACACCUCGAUCCUACCAUCUACCAGUCUUGUGAAGAACUUCUCAAAGAUUCUUGUUCGGACAUGCUGGCUGUGGCUGUCAGCAUUAAAGUCAACGACUCGCGGUGAAAGUGAGUGGCAGUUCAAGCUUACCUGUUUAGUGCCCUAGUUUCAGAAAAGAAAAGUUAAAGGAAGCAUUAAGCAUGAAAAAAAAUUGAUCCUACAAAAAUGGCAAUGUUGUAUGAAAACAAGCCGGAAUCUACCGGAAGUGCUAAAUUUAUUUACCUAAUUCAUCAAAAUCCAUCAAUUAGUUAAUGCACUGUUGAUAGCUCUAACGGCUAAAUCUGUAUGAAAUCAACAAAGAAAUUGCAUCUCAAUCAAAUCGCAAUGUUGCUAGAAAAGAGGUAUACUGAGAGAUGCAGUAAAGCCCAAUCUAAACAAACCAAUAAUCCCUAAUACUACCAUCAAUUUAGCCCUAGUCUAAUUUCAGGCAUUCUGAAGCAUAUAAAAUUUGAUCCAUCCAAACAAUUUAGUAAUGGCAGAAGCAAAUCCUUUGAAACGAUUGAGGUCAUGUACUGUGACACUAUUUGUUUAUUUAGGUUAGGUUAUCUGACUUCUUCUUGUCAAACCUCG